GGACUACUGGGGUAUCUAAUCCUGUUUGCUCCCCACGCUUUCGUACAUGAGCGUCAGUCUUAUCCCAGGGGGCUGCCUUCGCCAUCGGUGUUCCUCCACAUCUCUACGCAUUUCACUGCUACACGUGGAAUUCCACCCCCCUCUGACAGACUCUAGCUAUGCAGUCACAAAUGCAGUUCCCAGGUUAGGCCCGGGGAUUUCACACCUGUCUUACAUAGCCGCCUGCGUACGCUUUACGCCCAGUAAUUCCGAUUAACGCUUGCACCCUACGUAUUACCGCGGCUGCUGGCAC
This 292-nucleotide ribosomal RNA is filed under the name uncultured bacterium. Its description in RNAcentral is "partial 16S ribosomal RNA". The record is from RNAcentral.